RNAcentral lists this microRNA precursor (81 nucleotides) under Paramuricea clavata. Lineage: Eukaryota; Metazoa; Cnidaria; Anthozoa; Malacalcyonacea; Plexauridae. The record is from RNAcentral.
GUGGACAUCUAUAUAUUGGACAUCUAUAUUGUACGUUACAUGACACGUACAAUAUAGAUGUCCAAUAUAUAGAUGUCCACA